Molecule: long non-coding RNA, 1448 nt
Organism: Sarcophilus harrisii (Tasmanian devil)
Lineage: Eukaryota; Metazoa; Chordata; Mammalia; Dasyuromorphia; Dasyuridae
Exons: 3
Source: RefSeq, a predicted model, not a curated record
UCUUUUUUGACAGUAAAUUUCUUGAAGAAAGGAAGAACAUCCUAUUUUGGGGGGGUUUUCAAUACCAAGGACAAGCUCCAGCCCUGUGUGUGACCUCUUUCCAGACACCCAUGAUACAAACUUCUGUCAUGGGCACUAUUCCUUGCAGGUUCUAUUCUGCUUUCUGCUGACCUGUCAAAAUCAUCCUCCCUAAAGUACAUAUGAAGAUAUCUUCCUGGAAAGACCAUGAGAUACUUUCUCUGGCAAUACCAAGGAAUGGCAUGAAUUUCCUGGAGCCUUUUUUCAUAUAAAAGUAGGAAAAAUAUUGCUCUUUAGACUCAUGCUCUAAUACUGCCAGAUGGAAACCAAAUGGAAGUUUCGACAGGUGAUGAGCGACUGGGAUUGUUUUGGUGACAAAUCUAGGGCACCCAAACCAUCCACUUGGAAGGGCACCUUAACGGGAAGGACAUCUUUGCCAGCUAGUGACGUCAGUUAAUUGUACUUAUAAAUUCUUCAUGUUCGGGGCUUCUGACAUUUUAUCUUCUCUCCCUUUGAGUCUAAUACAAGACUCCAGUUGGAUAUGAAGAGAAAUCACUCACUCCCAAAUUAUAUUGCUGGUCUCUUGAUAGAUUCACCAUUGGUCUUUCCAUCCAAGUCGGUCUUUGUCAUAAAUCCGACCCUCUUAACAGCCGUAUCAGAGCGCUGAAUGCCACCUCCUCUCCGGCAAUUGAUCUAUGUCCUGACACAGGAUAUUGUGUCCCAUUUGAAUCCCUGCAUCCAGAGUCGUUACUCAGUUCAUACGCUGGGCUGAAUGAAGCACUUUAUCAGCCUUCAAAGUCAGAGUUAUGAGCAGAAUGGCUUAUGGAAGUUUCAGCCUUCAGCUAUCCUGGGGAAAAUGAUUUAAGCGGCAUUCCACAACGGAGCUCUUAUGGACAGGAAGGAUAGAUGUCUCCUUCCUUCUUCUGGUAGUUUCAUUCUGGCUGGGUGGUAUGCUCUCUUGUCCAGCCUUGUGAUGCAGCUGAAUGACAGGUGUUGGUGAAAAAAAUGCAGAAGAGCCAGCCAGCUGGUGACCUUGAGCAAAUAGCUUACCCACUCUGAUUCUCAUAUGUCUCAAGCUUUAGAGCCGAAAGCUUUGCUCCUCAAAAGUCAUCUGAUUCAAUGACUUCAGUAUAUAGAUGAUGAAUGAAGACUCAGAACUUAAAUGACUUGCCAAGGUCAUACAAUGCAUUUGUGAAAUGAAUAAUAGUGAGUGAAUAAAUAAAGCAUUAAUAUAUGUGUAGAACUGUUCUAAGCCCCGAGAAGACACAGAAAAGAGGCAUAUAGUCCCUGCUCUGAGGAACUCCCAGCACAGAUGGAAGCAUUCAGCUGGAAGUCAGAUGCGAAGUCCCCCGGCCCUUGGGGUGCAUUGGCAAAAGCAGAUGGAAACUCCUCUUUUUGAAUGUCAUUUCCAUUAAUAAAAUCCCAUCAUU